UGUGCCCCAUCAGGUUUUCUAAGAAUAGCUACUGUGUUGGUCCAGAUGGUGGCAUGGUGGAGAAGGCAGGUGAAUCCUACAUG
Molecule: small nucleolar RNA, 83 nt
Filed under: Tupaia belangeri chinensis (Chinese tree shrew)
Lineage: Eukaryota; Metazoa; Chordata; Mammalia; Scandentia; Tupaiidae
Description: Tupaia chinensis (Chinese tree shrew) Small nucleolar RNA SNORA17
Source: Rfam by way of RNAcentral